AAUGAACGUUGGCGGCGUGGAUUAGGCAUGCAAGUCGUACGCAUAGCUUCGGCUAUGAGUGGCGCAAGGGUGAGUAAUGCGAAGGUAACCAACCCUGGUGUUGGGCAUAGCCGCGGGAAACUGCGGGUAAUUCCCAGCGACGUCACGAGAUGGCAUCAUCUUGUGACCAAAGGUGUGAUUCCGCUCUAGGACGGGCCUUCGUGGUAUUAGGUAGUUGGUGAGGUAACGGCUCACCAAGCCGACGAUGCCUACCGGGUGUGAGAGCAUGACCCGGCACACUGGAACUGAGACACUGUCCAGACACCUACGGGUGGCUGCAGUCGAGAAUCUUCGGCAAUGGGCGAAAGCCUGACCGAGCGACGCCGCGUUGAGGGAUUGAAGGCCUUCGGGUUGUAAACCUCUUCGUAGA
This 409-nucleotide ribosomal RNA is filed under the name uncultured bacterium. RNAcentral describes it as "bacterial SSU rRNA". It matches the Rfam family "Bacterial small subunit ribosomal RNA", at positions 29 to 441 of the family's 1533-position model. The record is from RNAcentral.